Molecule: long non-coding RNA, 646 nt
Filed under: Rattus norvegicus (Norway rat)
Lineage: Eukaryota; Metazoa; Chordata; Mammalia; Rodentia; Muridae
Description: long non-coding RNA NONRATT029435
Source: RNAcentral
CAUUUCAGAAAGAUCCAGAUUACCUGAGACUGUGGUUGGACAAUUUUGUUUUAAGUUAUGAACAGUUUUUAGAUGUUGACUUUGAAAAGCUGCCUACAAGGGUAGAUGAUAUGCCUCCAGGAAUAUCUCUGCUUCCUGAUAAUAUUCUGCAGGUUCUGAGGAUCCAGCUGCUACAUUGUGUUCAGAAAACAGCAGAUGGAUUAGAGGAACAGCAGCAAGCAUUGUCAAUUCUGCUUGUCAAAUUCUUCAUUAUUCUUUGCAGGUAUCUGAUAUAAAGUAAAAUUUCAGCACAGUUAUUUCCAAAAUAAUAAUAGUAAUACUUGCUAGUGAUAUUUGUUUGUAUGGCUCUUUAAGAAUGUGUAUAUCUUUUAUAGCAUGAUUGUUUUACACACUGAAAAGCUUCGUAAUUACUGUACCUAACUGUAGAGAUACUCAGGCAAGAAUUUUAAAUGUGUGCUAUCAAGAUGGCUCAGUGGGUAAAGGCACCUGCAACCAAACCUGGUGACCUGAGUUGAGUCUUCUGGACCCGUAUGGUGGAAAGAGAACCGGCUCCCUACAGUUUUGUCCUUUAUGGCACACAAGGACCAGUACAAUGUACAUGUAUACACAAAAAUAAAUCUUGAGAAGUGUAGUAAAAUCAUUGUUU